UUAAGUGGGGAUUAUGAAAUGUUGUGUCGCACUGUUUGCUAUAUGCGUGUUAAGAGGGUGAUUCCUUUCUCAUGUGUAUAACAGAUAGAUAGGUUAUAGGUAAAGGAUACAAGGUUAAAUACGAGUUCUUAAAACUCAUACUUAUGUUACGUUCGUGACUCAUGGUUAUAUGAAAUGUUUAUGAACCCCUCAACGAAUGGACGUUAAAGGUCUGACUAGGACAAGUUCUUAAACUCAUAUGGUUGUGGAAAGUUCCUGAACUCAUAAGUGUGGUAAUUUUGACGAACUGGGUAGAACUAAGUGUGAAUGGAGUAUUGAGGAUAAUAGGAAUAAAUAAACUAUUUAAGAAAAUGAUUAUUAGUGGAGGUAUAAGUUUUCCAAAACUCAUAGCUAUGUUAGACUUUGAAAUUUUGACAUCAAGCUAAAUACGCACUAUGUGCUUUUAAAAAAAAUGUAGACUCGUAAUCAUUUUUGGAAUGGUUUAAAGUGUAUUCUAUGCUACUUAUUUUAGCUAGACGCAAAUGAUUUCAAAUAUCAAAAUAUAUUUUUAUUUAUCACUCAUGUACCAUGUAACCUGGUGCAGAGAUGAUAAAAAGUUGAUGGAGUUAUAAAUACAGGAAUACAAAUAUCAAAAUAUAUUUUUAUUUAUCACUCAUGUACCAUGUAACCUGGUGCAGAGAUGAUAAAAAGUUGAUGGAGUUAUAAAUACAGGAAUACAUAGUGUGAAUUCGAUCUAAAAAUCAUUGUUCCACUAUUGUAUGAUGUGUUUGACAAAGUCAUACAAUGACAACAUCCUCAAAUGGGCUGUUAAUACAGUACGGCAUCAUGACGUCAUUCUCAAAAAUAUUUUCAAAAAAAAUUUAAUUUGCCAACGGGGUUUGGCUACACGUAAAUAAUUCAAUUGAAUUGAAUUAUUGAUAUGAGUCUAUGCUAUUAGAUUCACCUAGACUAAUGUUUAUAAAAACUCUAAGUGUUCAUUGAAAGAAAUUUCCCAAACCAAAUUGUUUUGGUGCGGAAUCUAAAAAGACUGAGGUAAGAAAUUUUGUGCGCCUAAGGCGGAUGGAAUAGAAGGAACGGGAAAGACUUGUUCCAACUAGCAGUACUUGGCCAGUACAACGCAUAUCGGGCUAAUCACCCUUUGUGUCCGUAAGUUAUGACGGUUUGCGGAUGAAUUUCCAUAAAACCUUUGCGAAAAUGACAGAAAAAUAGUCUAUAUGACUCAUAAGCACAAUUUGAAAAUUUUUACUCUUGUGAGUGAUGUAUUGGGUAGAAUGUGAUGUUGUGUAUGCAAGGUAUGAGGUGUAAGUUGAAUUUCGGGGACGAAAUUCUUAGAAGAAGGGGUGAAUGUGACAACACGCGAAUUUAGACACUCUUAAAAAAUUGAAUAGAGGUUAAAUAAUAAACCUAGACAGAAAAUAAGUGUAUGUAUUUGACAUUUAUGGGAAUGAAUUUUGUGAAUUUAAAAACUUUUGGUGAAGGUUUACAGUGUUAAGAAUAUUUGUGUAUAUGGUCAUAUAUGUGUACAGUAUGUGGUUAAGGGUCAAGGGUUGACCAGAUAAACUAUAUCAGUCAUAAAACCUAAUAAUAUUUUAGAACCUCGACGUUCAGUUAGAAAACCCUAACGAUUGAUAAGAAACCCUAUUACCGGCUAUAGAAACCCUAAUUUCAGUUUCGGGAGUCCGUAACCCUAAUUCAGAUUAUUAAAACCCUAAUUGGGAAGCUUGAAGAUAAGUGUUAAGGUUUUUAUGUUAUUGAUUUUAUAUUAAUUAGGGAUAGCCCUAAAAGAUUAUUAGAAAACCCUAAUUGAUUAUUAGAAAACCCUAAUUGUUCAAUUGGAAAUCCUAAUG
RNAcentral lists this long non-coding RNA (1847 nucleotides) under Panax ginseng (ginseng). RNAcentral's name for it is "long non-coding RNA (PGIN_LNC005603)". Lineage: Eukaryota; Viridiplantae; Streptophyta; Magnoliopsida; Apiales; Araliaceae. The record is from RNAcentral.